RNAcentral lists this small RNA (382 nucleotides) under Arabidopsis thaliana (thale cress). RNAcentral's name for it is "ATSL113300". Lineage: Eukaryota; Viridiplantae; Streptophyta; Magnoliopsida; Brassicales; Brassicaceae. The record is from RNAcentral.
UUUUUUUUUGAAUAUUCGGAAGUUUAAUCCCGAAGAUACAACGACUUCCAAAGAGAUGGGAUUCACAUCAGGUUAAUUGUUUUUUUGGAAAAUAGAUGUCCUCCAAUGGACGUUCGAACCCAAUACCUCUACUUAGAAGAUUUAGAAAGGAUAAAACAAGGGUAUUAUCAAUCUGUAUACAUGAAAGAUUGCAAAAUUUAGUGUCAGAAAAAAAAACUGUUCAACAUUCUCUCUCCAUCAUGAAAAUACCUUUAUACCCCUAUAUCACAUUUGCUCUUGACGUUAAAUAUUUUGUUACCUUUUAAUAAUAAUGUUAUCAUCUUCCCAUAAUUAUACAAUCUUUGAAAUCAAAUCUGCAUAAUUAUAAUAAUCUUAUUGUAUA